This is a non-coding RNA of Taeniopygia guttata (zebra finch), 2494 nucleotides long. NCBI's taxonomy places the organism in Eukaryota, Metazoa, Chordata, Aves, Passeriformes, Estrildidae. The record is from RefSeq and is a predicted model, not a curated record.
GCACGGCACGGCACGGCGAAGGAUCUCCGGGGCUCGCCGGCUUCUUUUGAGACAGGCUCGGGAUUCAUUUGCGGCCGCGGCCCUUCCCGGCCGGCGGGAUCGGAACGGAACGAGGGGACACGGGAGGACACGGGAGACACCUGGAGCUGGAGCCGCUCCUGGAGAGGGCGUGCGGUGCCCGGCAGCAACCACGGGGAGUGUCGGGGCUCGGUGCUGGCUGCCUCAAGGGAGCAGCGGUGCCUGCCUGGAGAGGUGCGGAGCUUAACUUCCACAUGGGAGAGAUCCCGGGCACCCCCUGCGCCUCUGCGGGCAGCAGAAGCCCUGAAGGGAGAAGGUCGGCGGUGGUGUCUGAGGUGACGAUCGCGCAUUCUGCUCCAGAAACGUCGGGAUUUGUGUCCCAGUCACCUGGCAUACAGCAGCUCCGGGGAUUUCCCAAAAGGCCGCUUGAUUUGGGACACUGAGGAGCGAGCUCUGUGCUCCUGGUCCCGGCCCUGCGCACCAGCCGAUGCGGGGAGAUGAUGAUCCCGUCCCUUCUCUCUCUCCUGCCUAGGAACAGCCAUUCUCCGACCCUGGAAGGCCGAGGUGCAGCUCGCCAGUGUCCGUGUUCGGGGGUUUAUGUGGGAAUCAGAGCAGAAUGGAUCGGUAUCAAUAUUUCAUCUUUAACCAGAGGAACAUGGUCGUGCUGGGGAUGUUCCAGAUUGCCUUCAGCACCGUCUGUGUCACCAGUGGGUUCAUAGAUGGCAUUUUCAGAACAGAGUCUCAGCUGGGCAAAACCAGAGCUCCCAUUUGGGCUGGCAUGGCUCAUAGAACCACAGACUUCUUUAUGUUGGAAAGGACCUUUGAGUCCAGCCACUGAUCCUUACCAGUCCCUUCCAAACUGAUAUAUGAUUCCAUGAUUCUCCAGCACCAACAAUGUUUCUUCACCCAUAAAGCCUGAGAGCUGGAGCCUUUAAAGCAGGUGCUAGAGCUGGAAUCCCACCAGUGUCAGGUGGAAGGCUGCGCAGAGCCCAGGGAAUCCCAGAACACCUCUGGAAACCAGCAGCCAUUCUUCCUCUCUCAAUGCCUCCUCACAGCCCUCACUGGCUAUGCCAUUCAGCUGGAUAAAUGAGGCCUCCUUUGGGCACCCUGCAUCAACAGAGGAAGGAGAAAAAAUCCCACAUCCUCAGAGACAUCCUCAGAAUACUGCUAUUUUUUUGUGAGCCCUAGAAUAAUGACAACUUCUAAUGUUACUUAUUACUUCAGAUUUAAGAUUAUGUGUUGGUGCUGAUUUCCACAGAAAAACCAGACUGCCAUUUAAAAGUAAUGUUACUAAUACUUUUAAAUAACAUAUGGCUCUACAUUUAUUUGAGAAUUGUAAUGUUAAGCAACAUCAGUCAAUGACCUCAAAAGCAGGACUCUGGGGGAAAAAAAAUAAUAUUAGAAUUAUAUUCUGGUGAAGUGAAAAUACAGAGGGGACAAGAAAUAUGACUUCCAACGAAUUUAUAAAAGUUAAGAGGUUUUAUUUCUGAACAAGAUGAAACUAGAAGAAGAGUGAUGGAAAAGUCCUUUAGGGUCUUGAUUUACAUCCAAGUAAUCACUAUUUCUGUAACUGUUGUUUCACUUCCCAUUCUUCUGGAAUCUGAAAUAAAUAUUGAACAUGCCUCUGAAUCAUCAGAUGGGUGCUGCAGAUGCCUUAAAAUCACCCAGAGUCAUUGCAAGAAAGCACUGACAGUACUCCACGUAUUCUGACAGUCUGUUUUGUAAAAGUUGUCACCCACACAGACAGAAACUAGAAAGUCCUUUAACUCCCUCACAGCAUUUUUUUAACCAUAUGAAGUUAUGUUAUAAUUUCUUUUAUAAUUAUUGAAAACAAGUGGUAACAGUUAGUGGCAAAGCCAGUUUAUUAGUUUCUGGGAUUGUGCCUUGCCUGCCCCCAAGACAUACAAAAGAACACAACUUUACAGGCCGGUUAAAGUGAAAAUACACGUACAAAGCAUUCGGUACUCUGACAUCCAUCCUGUGGGCAAAACAUGCCCACUGAAAGCCAGGGUGCAACACUGAAUCCUGCAUUACUGACCACACUGCCUCCAUGGAAGAACCAUUAAAACAUGCUUUGUGCUCAACAUGGAAUUACACACUUGAACACCAUUUGCACAUAAUUUUCAUGACAUGAGGGCCCUUAUUUACAAGUUGUGAUAACUCAUAUAAAACUUAACAGAUGUGCAGGUGUUUCAGAUAAAACUUAACAGUAACACUGCAGUUACAUGAUUUUCUUACCCCAACCCCCAACCUGACUGACUUUAAAAUUCUUAGUUCUGGGAUAUUUUUAUUAAAAACAAACAAACAAAACCUCAAACCAACCAAACAAAACAAAACAAACAAAACCAACAAAACAAACAAAAGCCAUGAAAACUUGCUGACAUAUUUAGUAUACAAAUAAUUAAGAAGGAUCCUUCUCAGAAAAAGGAUUAAGUACAUGAGUGAAAAACAAUCUGUCCAACAGGACUGUAAACCA